Molecule: ribosomal RNA, 253 nt
Filed under: uncultured bacterium
Lineage: Bacteria
Description: partial 16S ribosomal RNA
Rfam family: Bacterial small subunit ribosomal RNA
Source: RNAcentral
AACGUAGGAGACGAACGUUAUCCGGAGUUACUGGGCGUAAAGGGCGUGUAGGCGGUAUGCUAAGUCUGGCGUGAAAGCUCUCGGCUAAACCGGGAGAGGUCGUUGGAUACUGGCAAACUAGAGGACGGUAGAGGCGUGUGGAAUUCCGGGUGUAGUGGUGAAAUGCGUAGAGAUCCGGAGGAACACCAGUGGCGAAGGCGACACGCUGGGCCAUACCUGACGCUAAAGCGCGACAGCAUGGGGAGCAAACGGG